This 315-nucleotide ribosomal RNA is filed under the name uncultured eukaryote. RNAcentral describes it as "partial 18S ribosomal RNA". It matches the Rfam family "Eukaryotic small subunit ribosomal RNA", at positions 1470 to 1796 of the family's 1831-position model. The record is from RNAcentral.
CCCUUAGACGUUCUGGGCCGCACGCGCGCUACACUGACCAGUGCAACAAGCAUCCGUCCUUGGCCGACAGGCUCGGGCAAUCUUUGAACGCUGGUCGUGAUGGGGAUAGACUUUUGCAAUUUUUGGUCUUCAACGAGGAAUUCCUAGUAAACGCAAGUCAUCAACUUGCAUUGAUUACGUCCCUGCCCUUUGUACACACCGCCCGUCGCCCCUACCGAUUGAAUGGUCCGGUGAAGCCUCCGGAUUGGCGCGCACCUCGGUGCCGCCGAGAAGUUGGCUAAACCUUACCAUUUAGAGGAAGGUGAAGUCGUAACA